UGGUGUCGCAAACCAAUUGGUCGAUCCAUUGUACCAGUUUGUACCACAAAGACGUGAUCAGCAUGACACAAUAAUUGUCUCGAGCUCUCCUAAUCUAAUGUCCAAUCUCCAAACUAGUACCAAUUUAAUACCUAAUCUCCAAAAUCGAUCAACAUACAAUAAAAAAAAGAGAUUAGUUAGUUCAAUUUAUACAUGCACCUG
RNAcentral lists this long non-coding RNA (201 nucleotides) under Ananas comosus (pineapple). RNAcentral's name for it is "long non-coding RNA (ACOM_LNC011352)". The record is from RNAcentral. Lineage: Eukaryota; Viridiplantae; Streptophyta; Magnoliopsida; Poales; Bromeliaceae.